This 464-nucleotide ribosomal RNA is filed under the name Kocuria arsenatis. RNAcentral describes it as "bacterial SSU rRNA". It matches the Rfam family "Bacterial small subunit ribosomal RNA", at positions 131 to 607 of the family's 1533-position model. Lineage: Bacteria; Bacillati; Actinomycetota; Actinomycetes; Micrococcales; Micrococcaceae. The record is from RNAcentral.
CUUGACUCUGGGAUAAGCCUGGGAAACUGGGUCUAAUACUGGAUAUGACAUGUCACCGCAUGGUGGUGUGUGGAAAGGGUUUUACUGGUUUUGGAUGGGCUCACGGCCUAUCAGCUUGUUGGUGGGGUAAUGGCUCACCAAGGCGACGACGGGUAGCCGGCCUGAGAGGGUGACCGGCCACACUGGGACUGAGACACGGCCCAGACUCCUACGGGAGGCAGCAGUGGGGAAUAUUGCACAAUGGGCGGAAGCCUGAUGCAGCGACGCCGCGUGAGGGAUGACGGCCUUCGGGUUGUAAACCUCUUUCAGCACGGAAGAAGCGAAAGUGACGGUACGUGCAGAAGAAGCGCCGGCUAACUACGUGCCAGCAGCCGCGGUAAUACGUAGGGCGCAAGCGUUGUCCGGAAUUAUUGGGCGUAAAGAGCUCGUAGGCGGUUUGUCGCGUCUGCUGUGAAAGCCCGGGG